RNAcentral lists this unclassified non-coding RNA (352 nucleotides) under soil metagenome. RNAcentral describes it as "partial contains 5.8S ribosomal RNA, internal transcribed spacer 2, and large subunit ribosomal RNA". The stretch from base 1 to 120 matches the Rfam family "5.8S ribosomal RNA", at positions 35 to 154 of the family's 154-position model. The record is from RNAcentral.
GAUGAAGAACGCAGCGAAAUGCGAUAAGUAAUGUGAAUUGCAGAAUUCAGUGAAUCAUCGAAUCUUUGAACGCACAUUGCGCCCGCCAGUAUUCUGGCGGGCAUGCCUGUUCGAGCGUCAUUACAACCCUCAGGCCCCCGGGCCUGGCGUUGGGGAUCGGCGGAAGCCCCCUGCGGGCACAACGCCGUCCCCCAAAUACAGUGGCGGUCCCGCCGCAGCUUCCAUUGCGUAGUAGCUAACACCUCGCAACUGGAGAGCGGCGCGGCCACGCCGUAAAACACCCAACUUCUGAAUGUUGACCUCGAAUCAGGUAGGAAUACCCGCUGAACUUAAGCAUAUCAUAAGCGGAGGA